UGUAAAUGUUGCUCGGAUAGCGGUUCGCUUAGGAUGGGUUCCCCUGAAAGCACUCCCUGGAAGCCUUCAGUUCCACCUUAUAGAAGAGUUUCCGAUAUUGGACACCAUUCAGAAAUACCUUUGGCCCCGACUAUGCGAGCUUGACCAUAGAACACUCUAUGAACUGCACUAUCAGAUGAUAACCUUUGGAAA
Populus nigra (black poplar) is the source of this 192-nucleotide long non-coding RNA. RefSeq lists it as uncharacterized. NCBI's taxonomy places the organism in Eukaryota, Viridiplantae, Streptophyta, Magnoliopsida, Malpighiales, Salicaceae. The record is from RefSeq and is a predicted model, not a curated record. The transcript has 3 exons.